UACGUAGGAGGCGAGCGUUGUCCGGAAUUACUGGGCGUAAAGAACGCGUAGGCGGCACUGUACGACCGAUGUGAAAGCCCCCGGCUCAACUGGGGAGGGUCAUUGGUUACGGCAGAGCUUCGAGUGCAGGAGAGGGAAGUGGAACUCCGGGAGUAGCGGUGAAAUGCGUAGAUACCCGGAGGAACACCAGUGGCGAAGGCGGCUUCCUGGUCUGUUACUGACGCUGUGGCGCGAAAGCUAGGGGA
This 245-nucleotide ribosomal RNA is filed under the name uncultured Bacillus sp. RNAcentral describes it as "partial 16S ribosomal RNA". It matches the Rfam family "Bacterial small subunit ribosomal RNA", at positions 524 to 767 of the family's 1533-position model. The record is from RNAcentral. Lineage: Bacteria; Bacillati; Bacillota; Bacilli; Caryophanales; Bacillaceae.